Molecule: long non-coding RNA, 2058 nt
Organism: Neofelis nebulosa (Clouded leopard)
Lineage: Eukaryota; Metazoa; Chordata; Mammalia; Carnivora; Felidae
Exons: 4
Source: RefSeq, a predicted model, not a curated record
ACAGAGCAUGCCAAAGAGGUGUCCUGGCUCGUGGUUCUUCUAUUGUCUGGUGUCAUAAAGAUGAACAGGGACAUUAACAGACUUGGAAUGAAGGCCACAAUGCUGAAGCACAAGGCCAGCAAAGCAUUUUUCUUUGCUAUGACUUUGUCUUCCAAACUAUUUGCUUCUUGUGCCUGUGGAAGUGAAGACAGGCUGAUAUUUUCCUAAAAAGGGGUGAAACAGGACUGCAGCUACAAUGGAGCAAAUGAUCAUAAUGGAGCCCACCAGGAUGCUUGAGAUGCUGAAGGCCAAGGCCAGUUUGGAAUUUAUCUGUGCCUUCCUCUGAUUUCCAUGAAAGUUGGCCUCCCAGCUCCCCUGGUCUUUGGAGAUGGAAAGGAGAUGUGCCUUCAUGAUGUCUGCCCUGGGAGACCACUGGGGAUGGGACCAAAGCCAUGGCUGAGAGCUACAACCUUCUACCUUCAGUCCAUGAAGUCCUAGGAUGGAAGAGAUGCAGAGGGUGGGGACUUUAGGUGAGGCAUGGGACAGGAGGGUGGCAAAGGGUCAGAGAGUGGCCAGCCUUGAUAGAGAAAGCUAAGAGAUGGGACCUCUAGGGGAAGAACCAGAUCUGAAAUAGUGAUUUUUCCGAGUGUGGUUCCUUGACCAGCCGUGUCAACAUCACCCAGAAAUCUCUUAAAAAUGCAAAUCCUUGCCCACUCCCACACUUACUGAGUAUAAAAUCCUGGUGGUGCCCAGCAAUCUGUGUUUUGAUAGGCCCUCCAAGUAAUUCUUAUACAAACUAAAGACUGAGAACUCCCAGAUGAGAAGAAUGAAUGAGAAAGAGUGGAAGUGCCCAGACCCUUCUAGGAGCUUCACUCAGACCUCUGGCCUUUGUGUUUAGGAUGUUCCUUUGUUCUGGAGGUAUGGAAGCUCCCCAGCUGGGUCCGCAUGGGGUUUUAUAUCCAUAAACAGUGGGGAAAACAUAAUAAAAUAGUUUCACCUAACCCAAAGAAAGACAUUAAGUUUUCAAAUCAAGUUGAAAGUACUUAGGAAUCACUUAUCGACAUGACACAUAAAUCUAGUAUAUUGUCAUCAAAAUCCUCAAUUCUAAGACAUGACAGAAUUUUAUAAGCUGGCGAACUGAACAAACAAGGUUAUUUAUAUGGAGAGGGAAUUAAAUAAACUAUAGACGAUUAAGAGAAAAUACAGGGAAUUUAAUAACAGUAGACAUUUAAAAUGAUUCGGAGGGGGAAAGAGGAAUGUAUAUAGGCUGAGCAAGCUAGGGAAAAUAAUAAGUAGAAAAGGAAAGCAACAUUUAAUGCAUAAACUAUGAUGGAACAAAUAAAAGUAAGCAAAUCAGUUACCAUACUGAAUAUGAAUUUCCUGAAUUCCCCUAAAAGUUAGAGAUUUCAGAUUAACAAAAUAAAAACACCAACAUUUAGCUAGAUGUUGCCUUUAGCAGUAUACCACUUAAAGAAAACAUUACCAACAACAGAAGAUUGAGGACGAGGCCACAAAGAGCAAUACAGGCACAUAACACAAACAGGGCAGAAUUUUCAAUGUACAAUGCACAAAAGAAGACAUGUCUGUCACAAAUAUUUAUGUAGUGAACUCUAAAUCAGCUACAUUGUGAGAACAAAAGCAACAAACAGAAGAAAUUUUAAUAAAGCCACUAGAAAUAUAAGGACUUAAAUAUACCUCUUAGAAAAUUUGAAAAUGAAAUAGAAACAGAAUGUACAAAUAUGUAUAGGAUUUGAAUAAUUUAACUAGUAAGUACAAUUAGAGAGUUAUUUAGAAAGUUACACUCUAAAGUAGUUACUGCACCUUCUUUAGUUAUAGAAAUAUUUAUAGAGAAAUAUUUAUAAAAUUCAUCAAGAACCUGGCUACAAAUAGAAAUUAAAAAAUGUAGAGUUCCUUAAACAAUACCAACAAAUCGGAAGUAAACAAAAAGGAGACUUGGAAAAAUUUCUGUUUGCAAACUAAGAGAUAGUCUCAUAAAUUACAGCCAUACCUCAGAGAUAUUGCAGGUUGGGUUCCAGACCACAACAAUAGUCAAUAUCACAAUAAAGCAAGUCAAAUGAA